GUGGGGAAUAUUGGACAAUGGGCGCAAGCCUGAUCCAGCCAUGCCGCGUGAGUGAUGAAGGCCUUAGGGUUGUAAAGCUCUUUUGUCCGGGAAGAUAAUGACUGUACCGGAAGAAUAAGCCCCGGCUAACUUCGUGCCAGCAGCCGCGGUAAUACGAAGGGGGCUAGCGUUGUUCGGAAUCACUGGGCGUAAAGCGCACGUAGGCGGACCAUUAAGUCAGGGGUGAAAGCCUGGAGCUCAACUCCAGAGCGGCCUGUGAUACUGAUGGUCUCGAGUAUGGAAGAGGUUGGUGGAACUGCGAGUGUAGAGGUGAAAUUCGUAGAUAUUCGCAAGAACACCGGUGGCGAAGGCGGCCAACUGGUCCAUUACUGACGCUGAGGUGCGAAAGCGUGGGGAGCAAACAGGAUUAGAUAACCCAGUAGUCC
This 425-nucleotide ribosomal RNA is filed under the name uncultured bacterium. RNAcentral's name for it is "partial 16S ribosomal RNA". It matches the Rfam family "Bacterial small subunit ribosomal RNA", at positions 354 to 796 of the family's 1533-position model. The record is from RNAcentral.